CCUGCAAACACCCCCCCUUUCCUCCCAGGACGUAGAGGUGAUGCGGGCUUGUCUUGGGGUAUCUCCCCCCUGCCCCCCGCCCCCCCCAGCAAUCUUUCGGGACGCAGUGCUGCCCCAUCCCUCCUGUGCGGACCGGGCGGGGGGCGGACGACCCCUUCCGGGGAGCCCCGAAGUGGUUACCUUCGGGGAAGACGGCUCGCAUUUUCAGUCUUUGCUGCGUUCUUGGAUUUUUCCUUCAUCGCGACUAC
Chroicocephalus ridibundus (black-headed gull) is the source of this 248-nucleotide long non-coding RNA. RefSeq lists it as uncharacterized. The record is from RefSeq and is a predicted model, not a curated record. The transcript is spliced from 2 exons. Lineage: Eukaryota; Metazoa; Chordata; Aves; Charadriiformes; Laridae.